GACGAACGCUGGCGGCGUGCUUAACACAUGCAAGUCGAACGGAAAGGCCCUGCUUUUGUGGGGUGCUCGAGUGGCGAACGGGUGAGUAACACGUGAGUAACCUGCCCUUGACUUUGGGAUAACUUCAGGAAACUGGGGCUAAUACCGGAUAGGAGCUCCUGCUGCAUGGUGGGGGUUGGAAAGUUUCGGCGGUUGGGGAUGGACUCGCGGCUUAUCAGCUUGUUGGUGGGGUAGUGGCUUACCAAGGCUUUGACGGGUAGCCGGCCUGAGAGGGUGACCGGCCACAUUGGGACUGAGAUACGGCCCAGACUCCUACGGGAGGCAGCAGUGGGGAAUAUUGCACAAUGGGCGGAAGCCUGAUGCAGCAACGCCGCGUGCGGGAUGACGGCCUUCGGGUUGUAAACCGCUUUCGCCUGUGACGAAGCGUGAGUGACGGUAAUGGGUAAAGAAGCACCGGCUAACUACGUGCCAGCAGCCGCGGUGAUACGUAGGGUGCGAGCGUUGUCCGGAUUUAUUGGGCGUAAAGGGCUCGUAGGUGGUUGAUCGCGUCGGAAGUGUAAUCUUGGGGCUUAACCCUGAGCGUGCUUUCGAUACGGGUUGACUUGAGGAAGGUAGGGGAGAAUGGAAUUCCUGGUGGAGCGGUGGAAUGCGCAGAUAUCAGGAGGAACACCAGUGGCGAAGGCGGUUCUCUGGGCCUUUCCUGACGCUGAGGAGCGAAAGCGUGGGGAGCGAACAGGCUUAGAUACCCUGGUAGUCCACGCUGUAAACGGUGGGUACUAGGUGUGGGGUCCAUUCCACGGGUUCCGUGCCGUAGCUAACGCUUUAAGUACCCCGCCUGGGGAGUACGGCCGCAAGGCUAAAACUCAAAGGAAUUGACGGGGCCCCGCACAAGCGGCGGAGCAUGCGGAUUAAUUCGAUGCAACGCGUAGAACCUUACCUGGGUUUGACAUGGAUCGGGAGUGCUCAGAGAUGGGUGUGCCUCUUUUGGGGUCGGUUCACAGGUGGUGCAUGGCUGUCGUCAGCUCGUGUCGUGAGAUGUUGGGUUAAGUCCCGCAACGAGCGCAACCCUUGUUCACUGUUGCCAGCACGUUAUGGUGGGGACUCAGUAGAGACCGCCGGGGUCAACUCGGAGGAAGGUGGGGAUGACGUCAAGUCAUCAUGCCCCUUAUGUCCAGGGCUUCACGCAUGCUACAAUGGCUGGUACAGAGAGUGGCGAGCCUGUGAGGGUGAGCGAAUCUCGGAAAGCCGGUCUCAGUUCGGAUUGGGGUCUGCAACUCGACCUCAUGAAGUCGGAGUCGCUAGUAAUCGCAGAUCAGCAACGCUGCGGUGAAUACGUUCCCGGG
RNAcentral lists this ribosomal RNA (1343 nucleotides) under uncultured bacterium. RNAcentral's name for it is "16S ribosomal RNA". It matches the Rfam family "Bacterial small subunit ribosomal RNA", at positions 28 to 1378 of the family's 1533-position model. The record is from RNAcentral.